UCUUAGCCCUGAUCGAAGUGAUAUCCUUUGUGGUUUUUAUUUAAAACUAUAAAGAUAAAGCGGAGAGCAGGACACAUC
Molecule: small RNA, 78 nt
Filed under: Flavobacterium sp. 5
Lineage: Bacteria; Pseudomonadati; Bacteroidota; Flavobacteriia; Flavobacteriales; Flavobacteriaceae
Description: Flavo-1 RNA
Rfam family: Flavo-1 RNA
Source: RNAcentral